AUUGAAAUGGCAAAAGAAUAAAAAUCACAAAAUGCAGACCUGAGAGAGAAGGUCUGGGGAGAGAUGAGAGAUACCCGUUUGCAAAAGCCUUGGUACAGAACGUGUUCACAUAGCCACCAGGACUUUGCCCAGCGCCUGCAUUUCCCUACCCAGGAGGCCCACAGGCAGUUCUCCUGGGGAGCCUUCCACAGCAACCUUUCUGUGACGUCACACGCCAGUGCUGUCUUAGCUACACGAGCGGAAUGCACAGUCCCCGACCGUGUUAGUUCUGGAGUGGCUUAUGGGAUGUGGACCCCUCCUUGUCCGCCCCUCCUUAACCAUACCAGUAAGGACAAAUCGGGACAAGUCAGGAGCCUCAGAAAAUCUCAAUAGGAGAGAAACUCCAGUUUUCAAUUCCUGGAUGCCUAUCAGAGAUUUCAGCUCUUGCCUCACAUAGUUACAAGGAGGAAUGCUUUGUGGGGACACCAAUCUGAGCUAAGGCCUCUUGGAAGCACAUGGCCCGAUGGAGGAGGGACUGCGAGCUGCGGCUGGGAAUUGCUGACAUGAAUUACUGCUGCGUAUUCCAAAAGUCCGCUGAACCAAGGGGGAGCCAGGCGCUGGAGAGAGGGUCUGUCGUCUUCCUCACAACGUUUCUAGAUCUACAGAUGGCGAUGAGGAAGUGGUGCGCUUAUUUUUCAUAUUUUCUGAUAAGGUGCCAACAGAACUGACUUGCCAUUUUAAUGUAUGUCAUCUUUCCUGCAGUCACUGAGUGGCCUCGGACGGCUGUGGUUGAUCACUGGGGGCGAGCUGGACCCUCGCCCUUGAACAAAGUGCAGGGCCAGCGUCCUGGAGCCCGCCUUCCUUACAUUAACCACCCUUGGGAGGGCUGACCCCAGGGCAGUGGAGGGUUCUGCAGCACCCUUCUGAGGUGGGGAGGCACUGGCACCCAGCCAGCUUCCAAGGUGGACCCCUGCUGGAGGGAUGGAGAACAGGAAAGAAGAGGCUUGGAACAGACAGAAUUCUCACCCCGAGGCACACAGGCGAACCUGGCUUGCAUCCGUAGAACUCCCUGCCAAUCAGAGCUUGACUCCCCUCUCUUCUCCACCAAUCAAAGCUUGCACCACGGCAUCCUCCCCAACUCCCCAGCCAAUCAGAGCCUGACUCCCCGCUCCUCCCCACCAGUUAAGGCCUUGCACACUGCAAGCUCCCCUACCAAUCAGAGCCAGGCUCCCCUCUCCUCUCCACCAGUCAGGGCUUGUGCUACCUCAAACUCAAUUCCUCUGCCAAUCGGAGCCCAGCUACCCACAGCUGCAGAUAAAGAAAGAAUGGCCUUGUCAUCGAAGCCUGCAUGCAUUCACUGCGUCCUCCAGCUUGGUGAUUAAUGGAGCGCCCUCCACACAGCUGACCACUUCAUUGGUCAAUAAGGGUCCGAAACAUCACAGGAAUAAACUGAAAACAUGCGGCUUUAACUCAGAUGUUCGUGGGACUCCUGACAUUGCAGGUAAAGAAAAUUGUUCCUAGUCUCAUUCAGUGAGUGGAAUUUAUUUCCCUUUGAAAUGCAAAUUUCUUAUUUAAAAAAGUCAGUCUGGUGUAGUUCUCCAUUCAAAGGCCCCAAGUCAUUGCCUAAUAAUAUUCUUGUGCAAAUGGAGUUUUAUUUUGGGAGAGCUUGAUCAGGACAAGGGGAGAACCAUGUAUAGGUUACAAACAUAAAGAAAAAAAAUUAAGGAAAUCAGUCUUACAGCUGCUUGGACCUCCCGGACCUCUGUCCAGGCUGCCAUCUGCACACGUGAAGAAUUAAGGGAUUUAGUGGAUGGUCAUCAAAAGCCAAUAGUGAUAUAUGACUCCUUAUGCUAAUGACACAAUUCAGGCUGCAUUAAUAAAAAUU
This is a long non-coding RNA of Equus asinus (donkey), 1864 nucleotides long. Lineage: Eukaryota; Metazoa; Chordata; Mammalia; Perissodactyla; Equidae. The record is from Ensembl.